CCGAGUUAGGGUCCUCUGGGCCCGAUCUCCAACCCUUUGUGAAAUCGACCUUUGUUGCUUUGGCAGGCCCGUCCUUUACGGGACCGCCGGGGGGUUUGUCCCUCUGGCCCGUGCCUGCCAGUAGCCCAUUCAAAUUCUUUUUUUAACGAUGAAGUCUGAAUCAUAAAUUAAAUUUUAAACA
RNAcentral lists this unclassified non-coding RNA (181 nucleotides) under uncultured fungus. RNAcentral's name for it is "sequence contains ITS1, 5.8S rRNA gene". The record is from RNAcentral. Lineage: Eukaryota; Fungi.